UGGAAGUAAAAGUCGUAACAAGGUCUCCGUUGGUGAACCAGCGGAGGGAUCAUUACCGAGUUUACAACUCCCAAACCCCUGUGAACAUACCAAUUGUUGCCUCGGCGGAUCAGCCCGCUCCCGGUAAAACGGGACGGCCCGCCAGAGGACCCCUAAACUCUGUUUCUAUAUGUAACUUCUGAGUAAAACCAUAAAUAAAUCAAAACUUUCAACAACGGAUCUCUUGGUUCUGGCAUCGAUGAAGAACGCAGCAAAAUGCGAUAAGUAAUGUGAAUUGCAGAAUUCAGUGAAUCAUCGAAUCUUUGAACGCACAUUGCGCCCGCCAGUAUUCUGGCGGGCAUGCCUGUUCGAGCGUCAUUUCAACCCUCAAGCCCAGCUUGGUGUUGGGACUCGCGAGUCAAAUCGCGUUCCCCAAAUUGAUUGGCGGUCACGUCGAGCUUCCAUAGCGUAGUAGUAAAACCCUCGUUACUGGUAAUCGUCGCGGCCACGCCGUUAAACCCCAACUUCUGAAUGUUGACCUCGGAUCAGGUAGGAAUACCCGCUGAACUUAAGCAUAUCAAUAG
This 563-nucleotide ribosomal RNA is filed under the name Fusarium proliferatum. RNAcentral's name for it is "eukaryotic LSU rRNA". The stretch from base 204 to 357 matches the Rfam family "5.8S ribosomal RNA". The record is from RNAcentral. Lineage: Eukaryota; Fungi; Ascomycota; Sordariomycetes; Hypocreales; Nectriaceae.